This 1411-nucleotide small RNA is filed under the name Pan troglodytes (chimpanzee). RNAcentral's name for it is "retained intron". Lineage: Eukaryota; Metazoa; Chordata; Mammalia; Primates; Hominidae. The record is from RNAcentral.
CACACCUCCGACUUCCGCACGGAUGACUCCCAGCCCCCAACGCUGGGCCAGGAGAUCCUGGAGGAUAUCUCCAGCCCAGCAGAGAUGGCCCUCUGCAGUCUAGCCGUAUUUUGCCCUUCCACCAUUCUUGGCUGUGACCUGGUCCAGCUGGGCCCUGAAUGAAUGUUUGCUUCUCAGGCCAGUAUUCUCCCCUCCUCACCAAGCCACCUCCACACAGCUCUAAGGAAGCUCCCCCAGGUCCAGGCCUCAGGGGAGCCCUGCCCUCAGGCCGACCCUGCUGCCUUUUCAGAGCCCUCCCUGCCCUCCUCGGAAGUUGCUGAUGAACCUCCUACCCUCACCAAGGAAGAACCAGUUCCACUAGAGACACAGGUCGUUGAGGAAGAGGAAGACUCAGGUGCUCCGCCCCUGAAGCGCUUCUGUGUGGACCAACCCACAGUGCCGCAGACGGCGUCAGAAAGCUAGCACCGUCCCGGCCCUCCGCCUCCUGGCCCUGCCUCUAUUUAUUGCAUUCUGGUUCUGGCCGCGCUGCGUUGCUGGGGUAAGGGCAAGCACUGGGGUCAAGAGCCUGCACACAUGAGCCUUCCGGGCUGGAAGGCUGGCGUAGGACUUGGGGCUGUAGCAUCAUCUUCCCGACCCUGGCACCUGUGUCUACUUGCUCCCGAGAAGAGGAGCGCUCAUGUCUUUUUUGCACCCCAAGUUGGCUGGAGCAUCGGCCACCCCAAGAUUCAUCUGUGACCUCCAGGCAGCAGUCUCUGCUCCAGAACCUCUGGACGGAGCUGCUGGCAGCUUCUGCGAGAAGAGAGAGAUGUGGAAGGCACCCUCUAGAAGAGAGUGUGCCUCAGGUUACUUGAACUUGAAUGGAGACUGUAGACUCCCGGACUUUCCCCUAGGACUGGGGGCCCUGUAGGCUGCUGUUGGAGAAGGACUGGGUAGAGACAUUGGAGGGAAGGGAAGGGCUUUUCUCCACACAAGGGCAGAGAGUCCGUCUAGAUUUCUUGCUGUCCUGCCAGUUCUGCCCAUGCCUGAGGUGGUCCUACCUCUCACGGGCACCCUAGCUGCUGACAGCCCUUUGUGGCCGCCGUCCCCAUCCCCUGCCCUCAGCACACACGUCCGCACACACGCAGCUUUCUUUGUUCUCACCUCUACCUGUCAUUCCAGCAUCCCUGCCUCCUGUCACAAACUGCCCCAGCAAGAAUUUGAGGUUCUGACAACAGUACCCAUCCCCCACAGUACCCCUUCAGCUCAGUUUCUAGAAAGCUCCCUUUUCUUUGAAAUCUGCAUGUUGAAUUGAACUUUGUGAUUUUAUUUUUUGUUUCAAAAAAGUUUAAGAAAAUGGAAAUGGGCAACAGUGAGUGAAGACAUAUUUUAGCACUGAAUAGAAUAUUUUUAAAAUUAAACUAUUUGAAAUAUG